AUGGCUUUAUUGGGACACCAUUGUGCGCUGGGAUCUUGGGGGGCUGCCAACUUGGCGAAGGAGCUCCUGACAAGCUGCUUUUCCAUGAGCUACGGGAAGCUCUCGCUCCGAGUUUCAGCUCCUGACACUGCGAGUCUGAACCCGGGUCUGGGAUCGUGGCGGGGAUCUCCCAGGAGGCCCCGAGCUUGGGGGGGCAGGGCUGGGGUCUCCCCCUUCCUCCUGGGCAGUGCAGGCGUGGGGCGACGCACUGCUCCCCAAGUCGGCGGCAGCCAUCCCGUCAGGCUUAGUGGGGCUGGUGCUUCCCUGGGGCCAGAAAGAUGCCAGACUGUCUGCACUGGCAUGUGGGCUUUCUGUGGCUCUGGGUUGUUUUUUCUCCCUUAAUUCAGAUCUGCUCGGGGGUUGCCGACAGCGUGUGUCAGUGAGUUAGGUCCUGGCUCCUGGCUUCAGAUCUGAAGGACCUUUGGAGAAG
This 469-nucleotide long non-coding RNA is filed under the name Lepisosteus oculatus (spotted gar). RNAcentral's name for it is "lncRNA (ENSLOCG00000023199.1)". Lineage: Eukaryota; Metazoa; Chordata; Actinopteri; Semionotiformes; Lepisosteidae. The record is from RNAcentral.